Non-coding RNA from Trichonephila inaurata madagascariensis, 73 nucleotides. The record is from the annotation of a GenBank genome assembly. Lineage: Eukaryota; Metazoa; Arthropoda; Arachnida; Araneae; Nephilidae.
GUCCCUGUAGCGCAAUCGAUAGUGCGUUGGGCUUCUAAUCCAAAGGUUGUACGUUCGAAUCCUAUCUGGGAUG